UCCUCCCUCUUUCUUCGUACUUAACACAUGCAAGUCGAACGGAAAGGCCCUGCUUUUGUGGGGUGCUCGAGUGGCGAACGGGUGAGUAACACGUGAGUAACCUGCCCUUGACUUUGGGAUAACUUCAGGAAACUGGGGCUAAUACCGGAUAGGAGCUCCUGCUGCAUGGUGGGGGUUGGAAAGUUUCGGCGGUUGGGGAUGGACUCGCGGCUUAUCAGCUUGUUGGUGGGGUAGUGGCCUACCAAGGCUUUGACGGGUAGCCGGCCUGAGAGGGUGACCGGCCACAUUGGGACUGAGAUACGGCCCAGACUCCUACGGGAGGCAGCAGUGGGGAAUAUUGCACAAUGGGCGGAAGCCUGAUGCAGCAACGCCGCGUGCGGGAUGACGGCCUUCGGGUUGUAAACCGCUUUCGCCUGUGACGAAGCGUGAGUGACGGUAAUGGGUAAAGAAGCACCGGCUAACUACGUG
Molecule: ribosomal RNA, 468 nt
Filed under: uncultured bacterium
Lineage: Bacteria
Description: partial 16S ribosomal RNA
Rfam family: Bacterial small subunit ribosomal RNA
Source: RNAcentral